CGAGAAAGGGACUUCGGUCCCGAGUAGAGUGGCGCACGGGUGAGUAACGCGUAGGUAAUCUACCUCUGCAUCUGGGAUAACACUUCGAAAGGGGUGCUAAUACCGGAUACACUUAUGGGUCGCAAGACCUAUAAGGAAAGGAGACCUCUCCUUGGAAGUUUCUGUGUAGAGAUGAGCCUGCGUCCCAUUAGCUAGUUGGCAGGGUAAUGGCCUACCAAGGCGACGAUGGGUAGCGGGUCUGAGAGGAUGAUCCGCCACACUGGAACUGAAACACGGACCAGACUCCUACGGGAGGCAGCAGUGAGGAAUAUUGGACAAUGGGCGCAAGCCUGAUCCAGCGACGCCGCGUGAGUGAUGAAGGCCUUUGGGUCGUAAAGCUCUGUCAGCAGGGAAGAACGGCCGUGUGGUUAAUACCCAUGCGGAUUGACGGUACCUGCAGAGGAAGCACCGGCUAAC
Molecule: ribosomal RNA, 456 nt
Filed under: uncultured bacterium
Lineage: Bacteria
Description: bacterial SSU rRNA
Rfam family: Bacterial small subunit ribosomal RNA
Source: RNAcentral